Molecule: ribosomal RNA, 490 nt
Filed under: uncultured bacterium
Lineage: Bacteria
Description: partial 16S ribosomal RNA
Rfam family: Bacterial small subunit ribosomal RNA
Source: RNAcentral
GAUGAACGCUAGCUACAGGCUUAACACAUGCAAGUCGCAGGGUAACAUGAGGAAAGCUUGCUUUCCUUGAUGACGACUGGCGCACGGGUGAGUAACGCGUAUCCAACCUUCCCAUAACUACGGGAUAACCCGUUGAAAGACGGCCUAAUACCGUAUGACAUCGUUUGCUGACAUCAAAUAACGAUUAAAGGUUUAGCGGUUAUGGAUGGGGAUGCGUCUGAUUAGCUUGUUGGCGGGGUAACGGCCCACCAAGGCGACGAUCAGUAGGGGUUCUGAGAGGAAGGUCCCCCACAUUGGAACUGAGACACGGUCCAAACUCCUACGGGAGGCAGCAGUGAGGAAGAAUGGGCAAUGGGCGAGAGCCUGAACCAGCCAAGUAGCGUGCAGGAUGACGGCACUAUGGGUUGUAAACUGCUUUUAUGUGGGGAUAAAGUGCGUGACGUGUCAUGCAUUGCAGGUACCACAUGAAUAAGGACCGGCUAAUUCCGUG